RNAcentral lists this ribosomal RNA (429 nucleotides) under Chloroflexota bacterium. Its description in RNAcentral is "Chloroflexi bacterium partial 16S ribosomal RNA". It matches the Rfam family "Bacterial small subunit ribosomal RNA", at positions 355 to 776 of the family's 1533-position model. Lineage: Bacteria; Bacillati; Chloroflexota. The record is from RNAcentral.
UGGGGAAUAUUGCACAAUGGGCGCAAGCCUGAUGCAGCCAUGCCGCGUGUGUGAAGAAGGCCUUCGGGUUGUAAAGCACUUUCAGCGGGGAGGAAGGCGAUAAGGUUAAUAACCUUGUCGAUUGACGUUACCCGCAGAAGAAGCACCGGCUAACUCCGUGCCAGCAGCCGCGGUAAUACGGAGGGUGCAAGCGUUAAUCGGAAUUACUGGGCGUAAAGCGCACGCAGGCGGUCUGUCAAGUCGGAUGUGAAAUCCCCGGGCUUAACCUGGGAACUGCAUUCGAAACUGGCAGGCUAGAGUCUUGUAGAGGGGGGUAGAAUUCCAUGUGUAGCGGUGAAAUGCGUAGAGAUCUGGAGGAAUACCGGUGGCGAAGGCGGCCCCCUGGACGAAGACUGACGCUCAGGUGCGAAAGCGUGGGGAGCAAACAGG